CCUACGGGUGGCAGCAGUGGGGAAUAUUGGGCAAUGGGCGCAAGCCUGACCCAGCAACGCCGCGUGAAGGAAGAAGGCUUUCGGGUUGUAAACUUCUUUUCUCAGGGACGAAGAAAGUGACGGUACCUGAGGAAUAAGCCACGGCUAACUACGUGCCAGCAGCCGCGUUAAUACGUAGGUGGCAAGCGUUAUCCGGAUUUACUGGGUGUAAAGGGCGUGUAGGCGGGACGUCAAGUCAGAUGUGAAGACCCUGGGCUCAACCUGUGGACUGCAUUUGAUACUGGUUUUCUUGAGUACUGGAGAGGCAGACGGAAUUCCUGGUGUAGCGGUGAAAUGCGUAGAUAUCAGGAGGAACACCAGUGGCGAAGGCGGUCUGCUGGACAGCAACUGACGCUGAGGCGCGAAAGCGUGGGGAGCAAACAGGAUUAGAUACCCUUGUAGUC
This 443-nucleotide ribosomal RNA is filed under the name uncultured bacterium. Its description in RNAcentral is "partial 16S ribosomal RNA". It matches the Rfam family "Bacterial small subunit ribosomal RNA", at positions 338 to 795 of the family's 1533-position model. The record is from RNAcentral.